GGCUGGUCCGAUGGUAGUGAUUUAUCAGAACUUAUUAACAUUAGUGUCACUAAAGUUGGUAUACAACCCCCUACUGCUAAAUUUGACUGGCUUUUA
Molecule: Y RNA, 96 nt
Filed under: Pan paniscus (pygmy chimpanzee)
Lineage: Eukaryota; Metazoa; Chordata; Mammalia; Primates; Hominidae
Description: Y RNA (ENSPPAG00000008914.1)
Rfam family: Y RNA
About the family: Y RNAs are components of the Ro ribonucleoprotein particle (Ro RNP), in association with Ro60 and La proteins. The Y RNAs and Ro60 and La proteins are well conserved, but the function of the Ro RNP is not known. In humans the RNA component can be one of four small RNAs -- hY1, hY3, hY4 and hY5.
Source: Rfam by way of RNAcentral